This 403-nucleotide ribosomal RNA is filed under the name Eophreatoicus namarrkon. RNAcentral describes it as "partial 16S ribosomal RNA". It matches the Rfam family "Bacterial large subunit ribosomal RNA", at positions 1926 to 2556 of the family's 2925-position model. Lineage: Eukaryota; Metazoa; Arthropoda; Malacostraca; Isopoda; Amphisopidae. The record is from RNAcentral.
AACAGCCGCAGUAUAUUAACUGUGCAAAGGUAGCAAAAUAAUUUGUCUCUUAAUUAGAGACUGGUAUAAACGGUCUGACGAGGAAAAACCUAUUUCAAAAUUUUAUUAUAAAUUGACAUAUAAGUAAAAAGGCUUAUAUAACCCAGCAAGACGACAAGACCCUAUAAAACUUUACCUUUUAAGAUAUAAAACCAGAAAAUAUAAUCCCACAAAGGGUUUAACUGGGGCGGUAUUUAUACAACUUCUAACUAUACAAAUUUCACCAUAUAUAAAUGAACAAAUAAAUCUUACAUAAAACAUAAAAAAAAGUUACUUUAGGGAUAACAGCAUAAUACUCUUAAAGAGUCCAAAUCGACAAGAGUGAUUAUGACCUCGAUGUUGAAUUGGGAAACCAUCUAAAAGC